CGUGAUGGAGUCUGUGUGCGGGGUGGUGUGUGUGUUGGGGGGAGGAUACGCUCAGGCGCAUGCGUGUGUACAGCCAUGAAGGUUGCCACGUCCUCCAUCACAUCCUGUUAGCCUGACUUUAAUGUUCACCUGACACAACUAACGGGCAGGUGAGACACACGCCGCUGAUUCUGUCGUCGUAAAGAUCGUCUCCUCCUGCUGUCUGUUUCCAGAUACCUACCUUUCAAAGUGAUCACCUGGAAAGAAAAAGGCUCAGCAUGUGGCGGAGACACAGAACACCCGCCAAAACGUUGAGCAUGUUGUCGGUCGUCGUCUGCCUUGUCAUCGCCACACACUUCUUCCUACCCGACCCUUACGUGCAUGACCUACGACCCAGAAAAGACAACACGACAGGGUCAAGGUCUUGUUCUCGACAUCCCACUAUCAUCAUCUUGGAUACAGGGGAACCUUUCGAGGCUCACUUUUCAAGAAAGUACUCCACUGAAGGCUGCUAGAUAAAAGAUGUCAUCACACCAACACAGACAAAACAAAUGAAGAAACACCAAUGAGAAAUUCAUGUUAGUACAUGUUGGUGUUGUGCUAAAGUUUCACCGAAAUUUAUGCAAGAUUCUGACCGACUUGUUGUUUGUUCUUGAUCUUCGACUUUUCAAAGGAUGUCGGAGACCAGACAUAUUUAUUUGUUUAUUUACGCUGCAAAGAACCCACACAUGUAUCCAUAUCGGUAUCCACUGUAGUAACCCCAUCUCAAACCUCACCUGUACCCACUGCAAUAAACCCAGAAAUCAGAAUCUCUUCCUCUACUACUGUCUUCCCCCUUUUCCGAACAGCGGCCUGUAAUUUUGAUGCUGUUCCUCCCUCUCCUCCCUGGUAUCAAAAUUUCCCCUUUCCUUCCUUCAAUAAUAAAUGCUUUUACUGAGAAUGCUAUUUCGCAUUAGCAAUAGUGCCAUCUCCCCAAGUGUUUCAUUUAUGCGCCGAACACUGUUCACUGCACAUCUGCAGACUAUCAGGGCCAAACAUGCGUGAGAAAUGACAGGGGAAGUAAUAACGUUCAAUUCAGGAAUAGUUUUUCUACAUUAAUUACUUCCCUUGUAACUCCAAGCUGCUUGCUGCGAAGAACACGAAUCCAUAGUUGAAGAUGAAGAUUUCCGUAAACGCAUUAUAAAAAAAAAAAAAAAUCCUGAUCCACUAGCCCUGUCUCGGUAUACAAGAUGAAAGGAAAAAGGAUGGAAUGGAAAUGUCCGCAUGUAGAAAAGUGGAAACACGGACAGCAAAUGGCCAUAUCUCUGCCUCGUGCUAUUGCAAAACAAAUUUGCAAUUCAUAAAUGUCAAGCUCUCGAAACGAGCUUCUCGUUUUCAAAUAAAUGUCUGAAUUAUUAGAUUAAGUCUGGGAGUAUUAAAUUUUAUGCUGCACUCAAGAGCAAAUAAAACAGUAAAAAUUCAAAUUUGCGUUAGUCGUUUUUAUAGUUUGAAUCACGUGACAUGACCCUCCAAAAAAAUUCACACAACAUUCCACUUCAUGGUUUUUUUCUUUCUUUCUUUUUCUUCUUCCGCUUUAUGAUGUUUUAUCAUGUAAAUGGAGGUGGAUAGGAACCUGCUGUGUGUUAUCGUGAGGGUUGUAGGACAGAAAAUGAAAAACGGAAAAUCUACAGGGAAGCUGCCAACGUCCGGGCAGACGUCAGGUCGUGCAGAUAUGAAAUGGAGAUGCUGGGUUGGGGGAAGAGGGAUGUAUAUAGUACACCACUAGCUAGGUAGGUAGAACUCAGAAUAUGUUAAUACAGACCGCAACACAAACAACAACAAAUAUAUAAAAAAAACGAUUCAAAACUUCAUCUUUACACAAAAUUUAAUGAUUGUAUAGUGUUUUGCAGUUCGCAUACUUUACAAAUACAACGCACAUAUUCAUAAGAAAAAAAAAAGUUGAUGAAAACUGACCAAACAUCAAUAUGUUCCCACUAUGUACCAAUGACCACUCAGCUAUACAUAACAUGCCAUUCAACAGCAUAUACUGCUCGUAUUCUGAGUAAACAGUGGCAUUUCCUCACUGUCCCUCCCCCCGAAAACAAACAAACAAACAAACAAAAGAACCAGUGAAUAAUUUGAUGAUAACAUUAAUUUCGCUUUGUGAACAAUGAAAGCAAUGAUGAUCAUGUUACAAUUUGCCACUGGACCCACACAUGUCUGCAGUAGACAACUCAAAAUGCAUUUUUGGUCAUUUCCUACAAGACAUGACAACUGCUCAGUUUAUGUGCAUGAUAAACAAAAUAAUUCUCCACUUUAUGCGCAUGAUAAACAACUUUAAUUUACCUGCGCGAUAAACGAAGCAAUAGCUCUGUGAUCGCUGUAACAAAAAGGAUUAACAACAUUAAUAAUAAUUCUGUUAGAUACUAUCUCAACUGUCAACUCCGGCUACUCUGGCUACCACCUCAAACACCAUCCUCUCCACAAGGUUCCCUCAACCAAACACACAGUGUCAAAUAUGUUUUGUGCACACAUGCAUGACAGUCAUAUAAAAAUAUUGCCAUAGUCAUAUGUGGCCAGCCAAGAAGGUCCUGUCUAGAGAUGUCAGCAAGAACACAAGCUGAGACCAGAGGAACCUUGUCAACUGGACACAUAGUCCACUAACUGACACAUUUUGGCACACUGUUGCAUGGCGGUCAUAUAAUAAUCUGCCAAAGAAUGUGGUUUAAGAACUCAUUUGAUGUGUCAACUUAUUAUAAACAUAAUAGUACACAGUCUACAGCAAGAAAGUGUCAACAAGUGAAUACAGAAAAAGCUUAUUGAAAAAUAAAGAGAAGGAAACUGAGGUUAGUUGGCAAAGGUAACAGGAAGAGGGUUGUUGUGGAUUUGUAAGUCAUUUUAGUCAUUGUUGUGUCUCUUUAAUAUCUUAUUUUUAAAUAAACAAAAGGUACUCUUGUGCGAAUAGAGAAAAAAAACAAAUUUCAAAAUGUGAAGGUGGACAUAAUACUACAAAGUUAUCAAUAUUUGUGUUAUUACUAUCAUUGUGCAUUAAUUAGUACGAAUGAUAUAUUCCUGCAGUCGUUUAUAAGUUUAUCAGCCUUGUCCUAAACACUGAUGUCAGAAGCAAUGACUAGGCUUUGCUUCAAGGGGAGAUAAUGAAGAAGGGGAGACAAAGACUGGCAAUAACUCGUCUCUGCCUUACGCCGUUGUAAGCGGUUCUGGGUCGUGCACACAAUGUAAACCCAAAGAAAAUUAGAGACAUGACAAUUUAGAAAUUAGAGACAAGAAGCUAAGACUGAAGUGUGUGAUAAUGGUUAUAGUUAUAUACUAAUUAAUGACUCUUCGCUAAACGUUCCCGUGGGGCAAUCUAACAAAAAAAAUGGCAGGUCAAAGUUCAAUUAUAAUGUCUGGUUCAUAAGACAAGAAAACAUUAUCUAAAAUAAACAAUGAAGAUAAACGAGGAAUGAUAAACACACACUUCACCAGAGCAAAAUAACAAUAAUAAAUUACACAAUGUCAGGUUAAUUAUAAAAACAGAACGAGGUAAGUGUGAAAUGCCUUUGUCAGUUAAUGGGACUGCGGAGAACUACACACCUACACACUAUCUUUCCCCUCCCUCUCUCUCUCUCGUUCUCUCACACACACACACAGGUAGUUGUCCAAUAGGUAAGUAUCUGGGGAAGAUAAUGCUGAAAGAAACUGUGCAGAUCAAAACUGACCCCCUACGGUUUGUUUUAUGAAAAAAAACACUUAAAAAACAAGGCCACUGGUCCUACAUGUUCCAUCCCCCAUGCAGCUGGUUCUUUCAAAAUUCACGGUGUAGUGAGCGACGCUCAUCUCUCUCGAUGUGACGUCACACCACCUUAUACCCUCGACACCAAAAUCUUUUCUUGCCUCACGGAAAAUGUAAAAAGUUCGACCACACAUCUGAAUGGCCCUUAAAAUGCUGACGUCUGAUUGGUCGGUCUGUUGCCCUGGAGAAGUGACGCGUGUGAACAUGCCUCGUGCUAGUCGUGAUUUUCAAAACAAAGGAAAAUGCUAUGCGAUUGGCCAAAAUGGACGUAUCUUGAAAGAUUUCGCUCAGAAACUGAGUGGUCAGCAGAUAGGUCUUUGCAUGAGAACCGGAACACCUGGAGCUGGGUGUCAGUGAAAGACACUCUGAGGUCGGCAAACGUCCCUCACGUAAAGCUGUUCCAGUCAGUGCCAAAUACCACAUAACAGAAAACAACAACACACACAAAUUAAACAGAUGAAAAAGGACUGCUGGACCCAUGGGAGUGAUUUAGCUUUAUAAACUUUUGUACAGAAUUUAAAGCAUUCUUCAGUGCAAAUAAUGAAGAUAAUGAAAACGGGACCAAUAUUGUUAUUUGAUUUAGAAACCCAUGUCUAGCAGAAAUAUGAAUUUAAAUAAAACAGCCUGAAAAUAAAGGCGUGGAAUAGUGACAACGACUGGGGAACAGUGAUAAAGGAAUGGAAAUCGUGACACUACACUAAUGUGUCAGAUAGCUGGGAUAGUCUAACAUAAAGUUUAGCUUGACUAGGAUCAACAAAUACAAUACCCCAUCCCCUCACAAAAAAUAUAUGAAAAACACCCGACAUGAUCUAGUGACAUGAGUUGUCUGCUCACACUGUCCAGCCUGCUGCUGCCGUCAACACCAACAUGAACAAUACACAAAGUAUAGCGUCUCAGUCUGGUCGUAACAGAAAAUAAAAUAAAAUUUUGUAAUAACAAUGUGAGAGAAAGGCGAGGUCAUCAAUAGUAAAUGGUGUUAUUGCCAUAAGAAAGCCUUUCCUACGUUUCUGAAACCAUGUUAAAGAGUGGGGACUCGAGGACUAAGACUAAGGCAACUAAGGCUAUAUCACGGGAAGGCAUUCAGCCUUAAAAUCAGGCGUCAAAGGCAAAACAAACAAACAAAAAACAAAACAAAAACAAGAAACAAAAUCUAAAACAAAAGCAUGCCCGAGACGAGAUCUGAACUCCGGACAACCAAUCUUCACUGCAUUAGCGACAAACACCAGCCGCUGCGCCACAGGACCACCUGGGACUCAAGGAGAGAAUAGGAAUCAUGAUUUUAUAGUUUUCUUCCUCCUACUUACUAGGGAUUCCGAGACUGGAUUACAAUUAUAAAAUAUUUAAUAGUAAAAAAAAAAAGGGAAACCAGGUAUUGCAAAUGUAAAAUCUAACAUAACAAACGAAAAUAACAAAGUAAACACCGAUCGCCGAAACAUGUGUGACAAAGAACGAAAGCCCCUAGCUCUAACAGCUCUCAUAAAAACAAAGGAAUCCAACAGUAUAUUUCCACAAAUAAUCCUAUCUUGGGAUUAGUCCGACUUCUUACAAAAUUAUAUUUCUUCAUUUGUUU
Molecule: long non-coding RNA, 5321 nt
Organism: Pomacea canaliculata
Lineage: Eukaryota; Metazoa; Mollusca; Gastropoda; Architaenioglossa; Ampullariidae
Exons: 2
Source: RefSeq, a predicted model, not a curated record